Long non-coding RNA from Mus musculus (house mouse), 1119 nucleotides. RefSeq annotates it as predicted gene, 42332. The record is from RefSeq and is a predicted model, not a curated record. The transcript has 3 exons. NCBI's taxonomy places the organism in Eukaryota, Metazoa, Chordata, Mammalia, Rodentia, Muridae.
GGGGGAUGGAGACAGGAGAACUGGUCAAAAGCUUGCCUGCCAGAGAACUGGGCAACAGAAGAGAGAUCCUGCCUCAGUAUGGUGGAGAUUGAAUCCAGGUGUCAAGCAUGUGAGAAAAAUGCUCUACUCUCCAGUUACACACCAGACUCUUCCAUCUCCAUGAGAGGUUCUUGGAAGGGACAAGAAGUUGAAGGCUCCUGAAGUCUAAUACGCUGGCGAUUCUCCCGACACUCAUGCUGUGCUCUCCAUGUUGUGUCAAGGACAGUGCCAAUACCUGGCCAUGAGGAUGUUCUCUGGUAGUGGUGGUGGUGGUGGUGGUGGUGGUGUGUGUGUGUCUGAUCAACUCUCCUGGAACUGACGUUACAGGUGAUCAUGAGGCACCUGGUGUGGAUGUUGGGACCCAAACCCAGGGCCUCAGCAAGAACUGGGUCUCUUUCUUUCUUUUUUUCCACUUAUUUUGAGUGUAUGGUGUUUUGUCUUCAUGUAUGUCUCUGUAGCAUGUGUGUAUAGUGCCCAUGUAGCCAAUAGGGGUCGUUGGAUGCCCUGGGACUGGAGUUACAGCUUCCAUGUGGGUGUGGAGACUUCUGCAAGAACAACCAGUGCUCUUAACCACUGGGCCAACUCUCCAGCCCGUUUUUGUUUUGUUUAGUUUAGUUUUGAGACAGGCUGGCCAUGAGCUCUUUAGCCUUGAGUUCCCAGUCCCCAAGGACUGACUUACAGAUGUGCAUCUCCAUGCCCAGCCCAUUUUCUUUUAGAAAUUCCCUAAGCUCAAAUCUUACACGUAGGUCCACCCAUCAUUUAAAACAAAAUUUCCUUAACAUAUAUAAAAUGCACAUAACUCCCAUGGUAAUCUUUUCAACUGUGCGGCAUCCUGGCCAUCAGCGUAUUCACCGUGUUGCUCAACUGUCCCCGCCAUCCGCCCACAGAACUUUCCGUCUUGCAAAACUGAAACUCUGCUCCCAGAGAAAGCAUCAAGACUUCCCACUCCCCUCCCAGCCCCUGGAAACCACUACUCUCCGUCUUGGCUUCUAUGCUGCCUGUCAGGAUUUAGUUAAGAGGUUCCACGUUGGGCUGGAGAGAUGGCUCAGUGCUUAAGAGCAGCGACUGCUCUACUGAAGG